CGAGUGCGCGUGAGAAGGGCGCUCGGAUUGUGUGUCGGGUUUCCCAGGGUGCGACCCCUUUUCAACCACUGCUGCAAGGGGAGUGCGGAGCCCAGGCUGCAUGGCAUCCGCGGAAGUAGAGAACUUGGGCCCCAUACAAACAGGUUUUCCAUUUGCUACUGAUUACUUUUGGAACAGCAAAGCAUGGGGGCACGGAUCACUUGCUGGAGGA
Molecule: non-coding RNA, 211 nt
Organism: Pelodiscus sinensis (Chinese soft-shelled turtle)
Lineage: Eukaryota; Metazoa; Chordata; Testudines; Trionychidae
Source: RefSeq, a predicted model, not a curated record